This 548-nucleotide small RNA is filed under the name Pan troglodytes (chimpanzee). RNAcentral's name for it is "processed transcript". Lineage: Eukaryota; Metazoa; Chordata; Mammalia; Primates; Hominidae. The record is from RNAcentral.
GCUGAGCUCUCCGUUUCGGCUUGAAGGCCUCGCCCGAGCCCUGUCACCGGCUCUGCCUGUCAGGAGGGCCCAAGUGUGCAGCGUCGGUGGGGCUGCCUGACACUGACCUCUGGGGUUGUAAAGGUCCCAGAGGGUCCUAAGUCGGGCCUGAUGUGGCUGAGAUGGCAAGAGCCGGAACGUUUCUGUAAAAUCUGAAAGCCCUUGAUGAGGCCGAGGGGGUGAGGAUUCCCACCCUGUGUGGACAGGAGCACGCAGCAGCGGAGUGACUCCCCCACAGUGUACACCUCUUGUACAAGGUAGAACAUCUUGCGCAUAACAGAAGGCCCGUCUGUCUGUCCCACUUUCCAAGGACAUCUUCCUUUUAAGCAGUGACUCGGGAAUCGAGGCCACUUCCAUCCUGUAACGACGCCAUCUGGAGCAUGUGGCUUCCAGGGGAGCAGUGGCUGAGGCCCUGCAGUGGCUUCUCACUGCUACAGUCCAGAGUUGCACACAGCACUUCUGCUCAUAGUCCAUCAGCCAGGAGCUAGUCAUGUGGCCACCUCGCUGCA